GUCUAUGGCCAUACCACCUUGAAUACCCAAUCUCAUUUCAUCUUGGAAGAUAAGCAGGGUCUGGUCUAGUUUAGUAGUUGGAUGGGAGCCUGAACAACAAGAAAUCUAGAAU
RNAcentral lists this ribosomal RNA (112 nucleotides) under Microtus ochrogaster (prairie vole). The record is from RNAcentral. Lineage: Eukaryota; Metazoa; Chordata; Mammalia; Rodentia; Cricetidae.